This is an unclassified non-coding RNA of Mesocricetus auratus (golden hamster), 317 nucleotides long. Its record names the gene 7SK. It matches the Rfam family "7SK RNA". From Rfam's summary of the family: 7SK was discovered as an abundant small nuclear RNA in the mid-70s but a possible function has only recently been suggested. Two independent studies have found that 7SK RNA binds the CDK9/cyclin T complex (known as elongation factor P-TEFb). The record is from Ensembl. NCBI's taxonomy places the organism in Eukaryota, Metazoa, Chordata, Mammalia, Rodentia, Cricetidae.
GGAUGUGAGGGUGAUCUGGCUGUGACAUCUGUCGCCUUAUUGAUUACCAGGGUUGAUUUGGUUGAUCUGGCUGGCUAGGUGGGUGUCUUCUUCCUUUCUCAUUGCUCCAUGUGUGUCCCUCCUGAAACUUUGAUCGAGGAGGAUGGCCUUCCCUGAAUAGGGAGGAUGGGUCUUCAGUCAAGGGUGUACAAGUAGCUGUGCUCCUCUGCUAGAACCUCCAAACAGAGAGACCAAAUUGCUUGAAGAACAUCAGACUAGGUUUGAGGAGAUCUAAAUUCUUAUCCUCACUAUGUACCAGAUGUGUGAUGAUGGAAAGU